RNAcentral lists this long non-coding RNA (4367 nucleotides) under Populus tremula. Its description in RNAcentral is "long non-coding RNA (PTRE_LNC003387)". Lineage: Eukaryota; Viridiplantae; Streptophyta; Magnoliopsida; Malpighiales; Salicaceae. The record is from RNAcentral.
CAGAAUUAUAUAGCACAAAGUUGCCUGAAUCAGACAUAGAAGCUAAAGAAGCUGGCUGGGAAGCAGAAACUAUCGCAGUCUCACCCCCUUGUGCUGAUGUCAAGACAACCCUGCCAUCACUGGUGAAGUUCAAGGUCGCAUUACUGGGGACUGGGGCAUCAUCCCUUCUAGCAGCCCACACAACAUUCUGUAGUGAAAUCCCGGAUAGAAAAACCCCUAUAGAAUAGCCAUCGCGUUGUCGGAAAAAUCCGAAAGAAUAAAGACCGGAAGGUGACAACCAUGAGGAGUUUGUGAUAGGUGUUAGAGAAGAUCCCAGGGUUAUAUUGGUCUGUCUUUGAGCUGAAGCUGUAAAAGAUAAGGCGAGAAGAAGAAAAAAGAUGAUAGAAGCCAUGGAUAGGGAUUUAGCUCUUGUGUGGUAUGGAGUGUCAAUUUAAGGAUGUCUAUUGUUCCAGCACUCCAGUCUCUUUCUUUGGUUUCCAGCAGUCAAGCCAGGCACUCAAACAUAAAAGUCUAGCCAUAGAAUCCACCGCGUUUCCCUACCAAUUGGUGGAAAUUGUUGCUCUUACUUUUAUGCUUUCAAAGUCAAUGCAGUCAAGUCACCGAAAAAUCUUGGCAAUUACUUGGCUCUGGUCCACUUUUUCCAUCUUUUGUAUCCCCCAUUUGAACAGCCAUUUGCUAAUUUCCCCGUGACUAUUCUUGGUUCUAAUUUUCUGCAGCAGAUUCUUUUUAUUUGCCAAGUACCAUUCAAUACGCUUUGAAGACACGAUCUUUAGCUUCCUGCAGACAGCUUCAACUAGUUAAGAAACAUCGAUUGUGGUGCCAAUGGUAAUACCCUGGCAUUAUACUAGGGCAAGACAGAACAACUUGCUAGCUUAUAGAAAUGUCCCUCAAAUGCUAAAGCCUAGCUAGCAACCUCAGUUUCUAACGAAAGAGCAUCUCUACAUGUUGCGUAACUAACAAUCCCUUGAAUAUUAAAACUGAAAAGUGGAACUCAUUGGACCGUUGAUUUUAUGAUCAAUUCCACCGUACGACUUAAUUCAGAGUACAAUUGAGGUGGUCACGGCAAGGACUGAGUCAAGGGACAACCUAGCAUUUGCUGACCUGCUCUUCUCAGCAAAAGCUUCUUCUCUCACCAGCUUCAUGCCAUGGUUGCUGAUUGGAGGGGCUUUAUAAUUUAUUUAUUACAAAUGUGCUAUGAAAAAGAAAAAAAAUGCUAUGAUAUUAAAAAAAAAAAAAGAAUUUCCUCGUAGCUAUGAUAUUUGUGAUAUUAAUUAUGUUACACUUGUGAUCAUGUUGAUGAGAAUAAUAAUAAAUUCAUAUCGUUUUAGUAAUGUUUAUGUUAGCAAGUAAUGCUACUGAAGGUAAAGAAGCUGUGACGAAGAUGAUGGUGAUGUAAUGGUAAUGACGAUUAAAGUGAUUCAAAAAUAUUUUUCUUUUGAUAAUUUAUUAGUGUAUAUAUUUCAAAUGUUUAAGAUAUUUUUCAAAUAAAUGUACCUUAACUAUGAUAAAUGAUAUAUUCUCCGUUUGUUUGCAAUUUGAUUGUAAAGGCUUCCUUUUAACAUAAUUCUGCUUGAUAUACUCCAUGUAAUUACAAACUAAUUAGCUCAUUUUGGUCUUCUCACUUCUGGCAAUUAGUCAGUUUGAUGGCAACGUGCAACAAUGUACGGUCACCAACUGUUGUAUUGGACUUCGAUUCACCAAUAAUGCCCUGCAACUGAGUUUGAGCGUAGGAAUGGACAUUUGCAUUUUAGGCAAGGAAUUGCCUUGUAGAAUAGAAGAAGAAGAAGAAGAAGAAGGGGAAAAAACAAGCAAAGAUCAUAGUCUCAUUAAUUCUAUUCUUCGUAAAGAGCUCACUCUUGAGAUAACAUAAGAUCAACAAACGUUGUUUGUACUAAGAACACGUGAAGCUUUCAUGCUAACAUUUUCUUUUCUCCUCUUUAUAAAACUUUUUUUUUAAUAUAUAAGAUACGAUGGGAAACAACUUUACAGGCAUUAACAUUAGAAGAAAAAUCAACAGGAAGCUCCCAAAUGCUGCGUAAACAUAUAGCAAUUUUAUAAAGAAAAGGAAUACAUGACCCGAAAAAUAAAAUACAACACUCUGCAGAUGAAUCUCUUAUUCGGAACCACAAAACGCAGCUCAUAUAGCAGUAAAAAAAGAAGUAGGACUUGGAGGGAUUGGGAUUUCGACUGUCCCCUCCAACAUGAGGAGGACCUUUUUCAUUGAAGGGCGGAGGGAUGGCUCAUCAAGAGUGCACCAAAUUCCCACUUUAACCAUCCUAUCUAGCUGUUUCUUUUCGGCGACUUCUUCGCCCACAAGCUUGUCCAUAUCACCGUCCUGAAAACAUUGGUAAACCCACUGUUCGAGAACAGCUUCAUCUUCUGGAAGACUCCAAUCCACAUUCUUUCGACAACAUGUUAUCUCCAACAACAUAACUCCAAAGCUGUAAACAUCUGCUUUAACUGUCACCGGCAUAUUCCGGUGCCAUUCUGGUGCUACAUAUCCCCUCGUCCCUCUGAUUCCGGUGAAGGUUUUAGUUUGGUCUGACUUCAGCAACUUUGCCAAUCCAAAGUCAGAAACUUUGGGGCACCUGCUUUCAUCUAUUAGUAUAUUCUGAGGUUUUAUAUCACAGUGGAUGAUCUGAGUGUCGCACUCUUCAUGUAGAUAAACAAUACCCCUUGCAAUGUUGCGAGCAAUUUCCAACCUUUCAGGGAAGCAAGGUCGUUUUUCAAGUGAGAAGAGUAUGUCAGCGAGGGAGCCAUUGCUCAUGUACUCGUAUACCAGGAGCCUGUGAUGUUCAUCAUGGCAAUAGCCGAGCAGACGGACUAGGUUUCUGUGAUGUGUUUUCCCAAUGACUUUCAUCUCAUUCUGAAAUUCUCUUUCCCCUUCAGCUAGAACUUUCUCCAGUCUCUUUACAGCAACAACCUUCCGAGUACUUGAUAUUAUCCCUUUAUAAACUGUCCCAAAUGAUCCCCUGCCAAUUUCUUCCUUGAAACCACCAGUAAUAUUUUCUAGCUCUGCAUAAGUGAAAGCUCGAGGAGCAAAUUCCUCAUUCAUUCCCGUACUAUCAUUACUGGGCACCUGUUUAUAUGCCAAUACAUGAUAUCUGUAAACGAUUAUUCCGAAAAUCACCACCAUAGCAAGCCCAAAAGCAACAAAUGAACCACUUAUUAUUAGGAUAGUCCUGCCAGUGCCAGGGUUCUUCUUCUCGGUUAUAGGCUCUUUUCUGUCCAUGGUGGAUAUGGGUCUGCCCACCUUGACGACAGCCAAGUUCGUACUUCCUAAGUUUCUCCUCCCAAAUCUCAAAGGAAGCCUUUGCUUUCUGCAAUACUGCCCAUCAGUGAAUAAUGCUGCUUCACAGUUACAGUCUUCCAAACAGGCUUGCUUACAAUUGUCUUUAGUUGUUGAUGACAAAACGGAGUAUGAAACAUCUUCCCACUCAGUACUAGACAGCUCUUCCAUGGUGUAUGUGCUACUUCCAUUCUUGUCGUUGCAACUUUCAGCAUUGAAAUCCCUCUCACAGCCAGAAGUCCAAUUUCCCUGGGUAACAAACUCAAAUCCAGGAAGACAAGUACAUUCAGCUUCCUUACCCUCCAUAACACAAUAUCCAUUAAGACCACAUGAUCCUUUCGGGUCACACUUGUUGCUUGUGGAAGACCACACAGCUGACCAGUUUCCAUUCCGUGUCAGAUUUCGUGAAUAUAAUCUGAGAAUCCCGUCAGCAUCAAGUUUCAUCAUCUUAAUUGUUUCUUUCGUGGGAUAUCCUACAGCUGUAAAGUUUCUUAUGUUGAAACCUGUGGAAUUGAGCAGGUAGAGACGGCCAUCCGGAUCAAGAUUUAGGGUCACAUUAUCUCCCGCCCCAUAAGUACCAGAUGCAAAAUAAGAAUAUGGAGCUGUAUCUGGAGUAUUAACAGGAUACUGCACAAGGUGUCCAUCAUGUUGCAUCUUGAGUCGGUAAAUACCAGUUGAGAGGUCAGUUUCUGAAACAGGAGAAAACAGCUCUGCACCCGCUUUGAGCUGUUGAGUUGGCAAAAGGGUAUCUGUUGGGUGGUCAAAACUCUGCCAUAUAAUCUGGCGAUCAGAAUUAUAUAGCACAAAGUUGCCUGAAUCAGACAUAGAAGCUAAAGAAGCUGGCUGGGAAGAAGAAACUAUCGAAGUCUCACCCCCUUGUGCUGAUGUCAAGACAACCCUGCCAUCACUGGUGAAGUUCAAGGUCGCAUUACUGGGGACUGGGGCAUCAUCCCUUCUAGCAGCCCACACAACAUUCUUUAGUGAAAUCCCGGAUAGAAAAACCCCUAUAGAAUAGCCAUCGCGUUGUCGGAAAAAUCCGAAAGCAUAAAGACCGGAAGGUGACAACCAUGAGGAGUUU